UACGUAGGGGGCAAGCGUUGUCCGGAAUCAUUGGGCGUAAAGCGCGCGUAGGCGGCCCGGUAAGUCCGCUGUAAAAGUCCAGGGCUCAACCCCGGGAGGCGGGUGGAUACUGUCAAGCUCGAGUCCGGAAGAGGAGUGUGGAAUUCCUGGGUGUAGCGGUGAAAUGCGCAGAUAUCAGGAGGAACACCAAUGGCGAAGGCAGCACUCUGGGACGUGACUGACGCUGAGACGCGAAAGCGUGGGGAGCAAACAGG
This 254-nucleotide ribosomal RNA is filed under the name uncultured bacterium. RNAcentral's name for it is "partial 16S ribosomal RNA". It matches the Rfam family "Bacterial small subunit ribosomal RNA", at positions 524 to 776 of the family's 1533-position model. The record is from RNAcentral.